RNAcentral lists this ribosomal RNA (497 nucleotides) under uncultured bacterium. Its description in RNAcentral is "partial 16S ribosomal RNA". It matches the Rfam family "Bacterial small subunit ribosomal RNA", at positions 28 to 507 of the family's 1533-position model. The record is from RNAcentral.
GACGAACGCUGGCGGCGUGCCUAAUACAUGCAAGUUGAGCGAUGAAGAUUGGUGCUUGCACCAAUUUGAAGAGCAGCGAACGGGUGAGUAACGCGUGGGGAAUCUGCCUUUGAGCGGGGGACGACAUUUGGAAACGAAUGCUAAUACCGCAUAACAACUUUAAACAUAAGUUUUAAGUUUGAAAGAUGCAAUUGCAUCACUCAAAGAUGAUCCCGCGUUGUAUUAGCUAGUUGGUGAGGUAAAGGCUCACCAAGGCGAUGAUACAUAGCCGACCUGAGAGGGUGAUCGGCCACAUUGGGACUGAGACACGGCCCAAACUCCUACGGGAGGCAGCAGUAGGGAAUCUUCGGCAAUGGACGAAAGUCUGACCGAGCAACGCCGCGUGAGUGAAGAAGGUUUUCGGAUCGUAAAACUCUGUUGGUAGAGAAGAGCGUUGGUGAGAGUGGAAAGCUCAUCAAGUGACGGUAACUACCCAGAAAGGGACGGCUAACUACGUG